AUGAGUGUCUAAAGCCACUUAACCCUGGAUGCACCCAAUCCUGUCUGGUUUGGGAAGCUAAGCAGGGAUAGGCCUGGUUAGUACUUGGAUGGGUGACUAAAACACCAGACACUGCUCACA
RNAcentral lists this ribosomal RNA (120 nucleotides) under Jaculus jaculus (lesser Egyptian jerboa). The record is from RNAcentral. Lineage: Eukaryota; Metazoa; Chordata; Mammalia; Rodentia; Dipodidae.